AUUGAACGCUGGCGGCAGGCUUAACACAUGCAAGUCGAGCGGUAGCACAGGGGAGCUUGCUCCCUGGGUGACGAGCGGCGGACGGGUGAGGAAUGUCUGGGAAACUGCCUGAUGGAGGGGGAUAACUACUGGAAACGGUAGCUAAUACCGCAUAACGUCGCAAGACCAAAGAGGGGGACCUUCGGGCCUCUUGCCAUCAGAUGUGCCCAGAUGGGAUUAGCUAGUAGGUGGGGUAAUGGCUCACCUAGGCGACGAUCCCUAGCUGGUCUGAGAGGAUGACCAGCCACUCUGGAACUGAGACACGGUCCAGACUCCUACGGGAGGCAGCAGUGGGGAAUAUUGCACAAUGGGCGCAAGCCUGAUGCAGCCAUGCCGCGUGUGUGAAGAAGGCCUUCGGGUUGUAAAGCACUUUCAGCGAGGAGGAAGGUGGUGAGCUUAAUACGUUCAUCAAUGGACGUUACUCGCAGAAGAAGCACCGGCUAACUCCGU
This 489-nucleotide ribosomal RNA is filed under the name uncultured bacterium. Its description in RNAcentral is "partial 16S ribosomal RNA". It matches the Rfam family "Bacterial small subunit ribosomal RNA", at positions 30 to 506 of the family's 1533-position model. The record is from RNAcentral.